ACAAUGAAGAGUUUGAUCCUGGCUCAGGAUGAACGCUAGCUACAGGCUUAACACAUGCAAGUCGAGGGGCAGCAUUUUAGUUUGCUUGCAAACUAAAGAUGGCGACCGGCGCACGGGUGAGUAACACGUAUCCAACCUGCCGAUAACUCGGGGAUAGCCUUUCGAAAGAAAGAUUAAUAUCCGAUAGUAUAUUAAAACCGCAUGGUUUUACUAUUAAAGAAUUUCGGUUAUCGAUGGGGAUGCGUUCCAUUAGUUUGUUGGCGGGGUAACGGCCCACCAAGACUACGAUGGAUAGGGGUUCUGAGAGGAAGGUCCCCCACAUUGGAACUGAGACACGGUCCAAACUCCUACGGGAGGCAGCAGUGAGGAAUAUUGGUCAAUGGACGAGAGUCUGAACCAGCCAAGUAGCGUGAAGGAUGACUGCCCUAUGGGUUGUAAACUUCUUUUAUAUGGGAAUAAAGUAUUCCACGUGUGGAAUUUUGUAUGUACCAUAUGAAUAAGGAUCGGCUAACUCCGUGCCAGCAGCCGCGGUAAUACGGAGGAUCCGAGCGUUAUCCGGAUUUAUUGGGUUUAAAGGGAGCGUAGGUGGAUUGUUAAGUCAGUUGUGAAAGUUUGCGGCUCAACCGUAAAAUUGCAGUUGAAACUGGCAGUCUUGAGUACAGUAGAGGUGGGCGGAAUUCGUGGUGUAGCGGUGAAAUGCUUAGAUAUCACGAAGAACUCCGAUUGCGAAGGCAGCUCACUAGACUGCAACUGACACUGAUGCUCGAAAGUGUGGGUAUCAAACAGGAUUAGAUACCCUGGUAGUCCACACAGUAAACGAUGAAUACUCGCUGUUUGCGAUAUACAGUAAGCGGCCAAGCGAAAGCAUUAAGUAUUCCACCUGGGGAGUACGCCGGCAACGGUGAAACUCAAAGGAAUUGACGGGGGCCCGCACAAGCGGAGGAACAUGUGGUUUAAUUCGAUGAUACGCGAGGAACCUUACCCGGGCUUAAAUUGCAUUUGAAUAAUCUGGAAACAGGUUAGCCGCAAGGCAAAUGUGAAGGUGCUGCAUGGUUGUCGUCAGCUCGUGCCGUGAGGUGUCGGCUUAAGUGCCAUAACGAGCGCAACCCUUAUCUUUAGUUACUAACAGGUCAUGCUGAGGACUCUAGAGAGACUGCCGUCGUAAGAUGUGAGGAAGGUGGGGAUGACGUCAAAUCAGCACGGCCCUUACGUCCGGGGCUACACACGUGUUACAAUGGGGGGUACAGAAGGCAGCUACCUGGCGACAGGAUGCUAAUCCCAAAAACCUCUCUCAGUUCGGAUCGAAGUCUGCAACCCGACUUCGUGAAGCUGGAUUCGCUAGUAAUCGCGCAUCAGCCAUGGCGCGGUGAAUACGUUCCCGGGCCUUGUACACACCGCCCGUCAAGCCAUGAAAGCCGGGGUACCUGAAGUACGUAACCGCAAGGAGCGUCCUAGGGUAAAACUGGUAAUUGGGGCUAAGUCGUAACAAGGUAGCCGUACCGGAAGGUGCGGCUGGAACACCUCCUUU
RNAcentral lists this ribosomal RNA (1528 nucleotides) under Bacteroides xylanisolvens. RNAcentral's name for it is "bacterial SSU rRNA". It matches the Rfam family "Bacterial small subunit ribosomal RNA". Lineage: Bacteria; Pseudomonadati; Bacteroidota; Bacteroidia; Bacteroidales; Bacteroidaceae. The record is from RNAcentral.